RNAcentral lists this non-coding RNA (22 nucleotides) under Arabidopsis thaliana (thale cress). Lineage: Eukaryota; Viridiplantae; Streptophyta; Magnoliopsida; Brassicales; Brassicaceae. The record is from RNAcentral.
UUUGAAGGAGUCCACAUCCACC